RNAcentral lists this ribosomal RNA (491 nucleotides) under uncultured bacterium. RNAcentral describes it as "bacterial SSU rRNA". It matches the Rfam family "Bacterial small subunit ribosomal RNA", at positions 28 to 513 of the family's 1533-position model. The record is from RNAcentral.
GAUGAACGCUAGCGGCAGGCUUAACACAUGCAAGUCGAGGGGCAGCGCGAUGUAGCAAUACAUUGGCGGCGACCGGCGCACGGGUGCGUAACACGUAUGGAACUUACCCUUUACUGGGAGAUAGCCCGGAGAAAUCCGGAUUAAUAUCCCAUAAUAUACGAAGUGGCAUCACUUUGUUUUGAAAGCUCCGGCGGUAAAGGAUGGCCAUGCGCACGAUUAGCUAGUAGGUGAGGUAACGGCUCACCUAGGCUACGAUCGUUAGGGGGCCUGAGAGGGUUAUCCCCCACACUGGUACUGAGACACGGACCAGACUCCUACGGGAGGCAGCAGUGAGGAAUAUUGCGCAAUGGAGGCAACUCUGACGCAGCCAUGCCGCGUGCAGGAAGAAGGCGCUACGCGUCGUAAACUGCUUUUACCAGGGAAGAAACCCCCAGACGUGUCUGGGGUUGACGGUACCUGAGGAAUAAGCACCGGCUAACUUCGUGCCAGCA